Molecule: ribosomal RNA, 443 nt
Filed under: uncultured bacterium
Lineage: Bacteria
Description: partial 16S ribosomal RNA
Rfam family: Bacterial small subunit ribosomal RNA
Source: RNAcentral
CCUACGGGUGUCAGCAGUGGGGAAUAUUGGGCCAUGGGCGCAAGCCUGACCCAGCAACGCCGCGUGAAGGAAGAAGGCUUUCGGGUUGUAAACUUCUUUUCUGAGGGACGAAGAAAGUGACGGUACCUCAGGAAUAAGCCACGGCUAACUACGGGCCAGCAGCCGCGGUAAUACGUAGGUGGCAAGCGUUAUCCGGAUUUAUUGGGUGGAAAGGGCGGGUAGGCGGGAAAGCAAGUCAGAUGUGAAAACUCAGGGCUCAACCCUGAGCCUGCAUUUGAAACUGUUUUUCUUGAGUGCUGGAGAGGCAAGCGGAAUUCCGUGUGUAGCGGUGAAAUGCGUAGAGAUACGGAGGAACACCAGUGGCGAAGGCGGAUUGCUGGACAGUAACUGACGCUGAGGCGCGAAAGCGUGGGGAGCAAACAGGAUUAGAUACCCGAGUAGUC